GCAGAAAGUGAUGAAUCAGAGGCUGAAGUGAAGUUACAAAGUUAUACUCCUAUGCAAAGGAAGACUUGGCCUGUGACCAGCCUGAUUGACUGCAGGAGGGGACCAGUCAGAGGUAGAAGACACAGAGCAUCAUCCAGAUCCUCUCUUCCUUAGUGAGAGGCACACUCUGUAAAGAGUGGUGUUCAGCAGAAACUGUAGAGGCAGACCCGGAAUCAAAUCCCAGUUCUGCCAUCUCUUCUUAGCUAAGUGGCCUUGGGUGAGUGAAUUCACUUCUCUAAAACUCAGUUU
Molecule: long non-coding RNA, 288 nt
Filed under: Homo sapiens (human)
Lineage: Eukaryota; Metazoa; Chordata; Mammalia; Primates; Hominidae
Description: HSALNT0343662
Source: RNAcentral